AUUGAACGCUGGCGGCAGGCCUAACACAUGCAAGUCGAACGGUAACAGGGAUCAGCUUGCUGAUUCGCUGACGAGUGGCGGACGGGUGAGUAAUGUCUGGGAAACUGCCUGAUGGAGGGGGAUAACUACUGGAAACGGUAGCUAAUACCGCAUAACGUCGCAAGACCAAAGAGGGGGACCUUCGGGCCUCUUGCCACCGGAUGUGCCCAGAUGGGAUUAGCUAGUAGGUGGGGUAACGGCUCACCUAGGCGACGAUCCCUAGCUGGUCUGAGAGGAUGACCAGCCACACUGGAACUGAGACACGGUCCAGACUCCUACGGGAGGCAGCAGUGGGGAAUAUUGCACAAUGGGCGCAAGCCUGAUGCAGCCAUGCCGCGUGUAUGAAGAAGGCCUUCGGGUUGUAAAGUACUUUCAGCGGGGAGGAAGGGAGUAAAGUUAAUACCUUUGCUCAUUGACGUUACCCGCAGAAGAAGCACCGGCUAACUCCGUG
RNAcentral lists this ribosomal RNA (490 nucleotides) under uncultured bacterium. RNAcentral's name for it is "partial 16S ribosomal RNA". It matches the Rfam family "Bacterial small subunit ribosomal RNA", at positions 30 to 507 of the family's 1533-position model. The record is from RNAcentral.